Molecule: long non-coding RNA, 152 nt
Organism: Drosophila arizonae
Lineage: Eukaryota; Metazoa; Arthropoda; Insecta; Diptera; Drosophilidae
Source: RefSeq, a predicted model, not a curated record
UUUUUAAACAGCUGCGUACUAAAACACAUUUUGCAGCUCGGGCACGUGAGUGUCCUUGACGAAACAAACCUGUUCACUUGAGUUAGUUCUAUGUGUCACACCACAAUUGAUGAAGGAAGUAUUCUUUGCUCCAAGCUCCAAGAGGGAUUUGC